RNAcentral lists this ribosomal RNA (301 nucleotides) under uncultured bacterium. RNAcentral describes it as "partial 16S ribosomal RNA". It matches the Rfam family "Bacterial small subunit ribosomal RNA", at positions 509 to 807 of the family's 1533-position model. The record is from RNAcentral.
CAGUAGCCGCGGGAAUACAGAGGGUGCGAGCGUUAAUCGGAUUUACUGGGCGUAAAGCGUGCGUAGGCGGCUUCUUAAGUCGGAUGUGAAAUCCCUGAGCUUAACUUAGGAAUUGCAUUCGAUACUGGGAAGCUAGAGUAUGGGAGAGGAUGGUAGAAUUCCAGGUGUAGCGGUGAAAUGCGUAGAGAUCUGGAGGAAUACCGAUGGCGAAGGCUGCCAUCUGGCCUAAUACUGACGCUGAGGUACGAAAGCAUGGGGAGCAAACAGGAUUAGAUACCCCUGUAGUCCCUGUCUCUUAUAC